Molecule: ribosomal RNA, 1659 nt
Filed under: Lactobacillus delbrueckii subsp. bulgaricus
Lineage: Bacteria; Bacillati; Bacillota; Bacilli; Lactobacillales; Lactobacillaceae
Description: partial 23S ribosomal RNA
Rfam family: Bacterial large subunit ribosomal RNA
Source: RNAcentral
CGAGAGGACAUGUGGAGCUUCUAGAAGUGAGAAUGCCGGUAUGAGUAACGAAAGACAGGUGAGAAUCCUGUCCGCCGCAAGACUAAGGUUUCCUGGGGCAGGCUCGUCCGCCCAGGGUAAGUCGGGACCUAAGGCGAGGCCGAGAGGCGUAGUCGAUGGACAACAGGUUGAAAUUCCUGUACUGCACCGAAUCGUUAUGAGCGAUGGAGGGACGCAGGAGGCUAGCAGCGCGUGGUGCUGGAUACCACGUUCAAGCGUCAAGUCUGAGAGUGAGUCAAAUGCUUGCUCUCAUAAGGACAAGGCGUGAUGAGGAGCGAAAUUAAAGUAGCGAAGGCUGCGACGUCACACUGCCGAGAAAAGCUUCUAGCCAGAGACGGUGCACCCGUACCGCAAACCGACACAGGUAGUCGAGGAGAGUAUCCUCAGGUGAGCGAGAGAACUCUCGUUAAGGAACUCGGCAAAAUGGCCCCGUAACUUCGGGAGAAGGGGCGCUGGUCGCAAGAUCAGCCGCAGUGAAAAGGCCCAAGCAACUGUUUAUCAAAAACACAGGCAUCUGCAAAAUCGUAAGAUGAAGUAUAGGUGCUGACACCUGCCCGGUGCUGGAAGGUUAAGAGGAGAGCUUAGCGCAAGCGAAGGUUUGAAUUGAAGCCCCAGUAAACGGCGGCCGUAACUAUAACGGUCCUAAGGUAGCGAAAUUCCUUGUCGGGUAAGUUCCGACCUGCACGAAAGGUGUAAUGAUUUGGGCACUGUCUCAACGAGAGACUCGGUGAAAUUAUAAUACCCGUGAAGAUGCGGGUUACCCGCGACAGGACGGAAAGACCCCAUGGAGCUUUACUGCAGUUUAAUAUUGGGUAUCUGUCAAGCAUGUACAGGAUAGGUAGGAGCCGGAGAAGAUAGGACGCCAGUCUUAUCAGAGGCGCUGUUGGGAUACUACCCUUGCUUGACGGAUGCUCUAACUCAGGCCUGUGAUCCAGGCCGAGGACAGUGUUUGACGGGCAGUUUGACUGGGGCGGUCGCCUCCUAAAGUGUAACGGAGGCGCCCAAAGGUUCCCUCAGAAUGGUUGGAAAUCAUUCGCAGAGUGUAAAGGUAAAAGGGAGCUUGACUGCGAGAGAGACAACUCGAGCAGGUACGAAAGUAGGGCUUAGUGAUCUGGUGGUACCGUAUGGAAGGGCCAUCACUCAACGGAUAAAAGCUACCCUGGGGAUAACAGGCUUAUCUCCCCCAAGAGUUCACAUCGACGGGGAGGUUUGGCACCUCGAUGUCGGCUCGUCGCAUCCUGGGGCUGAAGUCGGUCCCAAGGGUUGGGCUGUUCGCCCAUUAAAGCGGCACGCGAGCUGGGUUCAGAACGUCGUGAGACAGUUCGGUCCCUAUCCGUCGUGGGCGUAGGAAAUUUGAGAGGAGCUGUCCUUAGUACGAGAGGACCGGGAUGGACGCACCGCUGGUGUACCAGUUGUCUUGCCAAAGGCAUCGCUGGGUAGCUAUGUGCGGACGGGAUAAGCGCUGAAAGCAUCUAAGUGCGAAGCCCCCCUCAAGAUGAGAUUUCCCAUUUCUUCAAGAAAGUAAGACACCUCAGAGACGAUGAGGUAGAUAGGCCGGGAGUGGAAGAGCCGUGAGGCUUGGAGCGGACCGGUACUAAUCAGUCGAGGACUUGACCAAAA